This 429-nucleotide ribosomal RNA is filed under the name Chloroflexota bacterium. RNAcentral's name for it is "Chloroflexi bacterium partial 16S ribosomal RNA". It matches the Rfam family "Bacterial small subunit ribosomal RNA", at positions 355 to 776 of the family's 1533-position model. The record is from RNAcentral. Lineage: Bacteria; Bacillati; Chloroflexota.
UGGGGAAUAUUGCACAAUGGGCGCAAGCCUGAUGCAGCCAUGCCGCGUGUAUGAAGAAGGCCUUCGGGUUGUAAAGUACUUUCAGUCGGGAGGAAGGUGGUAAGGUUAAUAACCUUGGCGAUUGACGUUACCCGCAGAAGAAGCACCGGCUAACUCCGUGCCAGCAGCCGCGGUAAUACGGAGGGUGCAAGCGUUAAUCGGAAUUACUGGGCGUAAAGCGCACGCAGGCGGUUUGUUAAGUCAGAUGUGAAAUCCCCGGGCUCAACCUGGGAACUGCAUCUGAUACUGGCAAGCUUGGGUCGCGUAGGGGGGGAUAGAAUUCCAGGUGUAGCGGUGAAAUGCGUAGAGAUCUGGGGGAAUACCGGUGGCGAAGGCGGCCCCCUGGACGAAGACUGACGCUCGGGUGCGAAAGCGUGGGGAGCAAACAGG